RNAcentral lists this ribosomal RNA (443 nucleotides) under uncultured bacterium. Its description in RNAcentral is "partial 16S ribosomal RNA". It matches the Rfam family "Bacterial small subunit ribosomal RNA", at positions 338 to 795 of the family's 1533-position model. The record is from RNAcentral.
CCUACGGGGGGCAGCAGUGGGGAAUAGUGGGCAAUGGAGGAAACUCUGACCCAGCAACGCCGCGUGAAUGAUGAAGGUCUUCGGAUUGGAAAGUUCUUUUCUAAGGGAAGAAGAAAGGGACGGGACCGUAGGAAUAAGGCUCGGCUAACUACGUGCCAGCAGCCGCGGUAAUACGUAGGAGGCGAGCGUUAGCCGGAAUGACUGGGCGUAAAGGGUGCGUAGGUGGUUUGGCAAGUUAGUAGCGUAACUCCAAGGCUCAACCUUGGAACUACUACUCAAACUGUUGGACUUGAGUGCAGGAGGGGCAACCGGACUUCCUAGUGUAGCGGUGGAAUGCGUAGAUAUUAGGCGGAUCCCCAGUGGCGACGGCGGGUUGCUAGCCUGUACCUGACACUGAGGCACGACAGCGUGGGGAGCAAACAGGAUUAGAUACCCGUGUAGUC